AUUCCCGGCGAGCAUGUGGCCCCUAUCGGGACCCGUACAAGGGCGGCCUCUUCGGGGCCCACCCCCUUGGGGUCCCCGGCAAGGCGGACGGGGGCUGGGGCGCCGAGUCCCCCGGCUUUGGGAGGUCUUCGCUGACGCCCCGCGUGGCGUUUUCUCCGUCCUCCAGACCAGGAGCUUCGAAAUGUCAUCGACAAGCUCGCCCAGUUCGUGGCUCGCAAUGGGCCCGAGUUUGAGAAGAUGACUAUGGAGAAGCAGAAGGACAACCCCAAAUUCUCGUUUCUUUUCGGAGGCGAAUUCUACAGUUACUACAAGUGCAAGCUGGCGCUGGAGCAGCAGCAGCUCAUCUGCAAGCAGCAGACCCCGGAGCUGGAGCCAGCCACCACCAUGCCGCCCCUGCCACAGCCCCCGCUGGCCCCCGCCGCACCCAUCCCGCAGGCCCAGGGCGCGCCAUCCAUGGACGAGCUCAUCCAGCAGAGCCAGUGGAACCUCCAGCAGCAGGAGCAGCACUUGCUGGCGCUCAGACAGGAGCAAGUGACAGCAGCCGUGGCCCACGCGGUGGAGCAGCAGAUGCAGAAGCUUCUGGAGGAGACCCAGCUAGACAUGAACGAGUUUGACAACCUGCUGCAGCCCAUCAUCGACACGUGCACCAAGGACGCCAUCUCGGCCGGGAAGAACUGGAUGUUCAGCAAUGCCAAGUCCCCGCCACACUGUGAGCUGAUGGCCGGCCACCUCCGGAACCGCAUCACAGCUGACGGGGCGCACUUCGAGCUGCGGCUGCACCUCAUCUACCUGAUCAACGACGUGCUGCACCACUGGUGAGCACCGCCGCCCCGUGCCCAGAGCGCCACUUCCUCGCGCUCCUCCUCAAUCCCACCUGGGCGGCCUCUUGCUCCAGUCAGUAGCUUGGCUUGGCCUGUCCUGAGACUAGGGGGCACUUGUCCAGGGAGCCCGGGUGGGGGGUCUCUGUGAGCCACCAGGCUUCUGUCUGCAGGACUGCAGGGUCUAGGUGUCCUGUGCACCUUCACUGCAUGCCCUGUCCUCUCCCCUAGACCCCGGCCUCACCUGUCACAUUGCUGUCUCCUGGGGGCCACUGUCCCCUGCGCUCCUUCCUCUCAUGGGGCAGCUUUUUGGCGUCUCCUUGUUGCCUUCUCAGCCACGGCCUCCCUGGCCUCUGUGUCUGUCUCCUGCCCUCGUCACUGAUUUGCACACACACACACACGCAGUCACCUGACUUUGCUCAGCCAUCAGGACCCUCCUUUAGGGUCCCCUUCUCCAGCCCUGACCCGUCUCUCAGGCUUCAACAGAGCCACGUCUGCAGACCCUCUGUCCCCACCCAGCCCUCACCCUUCCCACUGUUGCUGUCUCCACCCUCCCCAGGGUUGGGCGGGUAUUUCCUUCUACAGGGUCACCGGGGCCCUUCUCACAAAAAUUA
This 1432-nucleotide small RNA is filed under the name Pongo abelii (Sumatran orangutan). RNAcentral's name for it is "retained intron". The record is from RNAcentral. Lineage: Eukaryota; Metazoa; Chordata; Mammalia; Primates; Hominidae.